CAAAUAAAUAAAUUAAAUCUUUUUAAAAAAAUACAUAAAAUGAUAUGCCUUAGGAAUGACACAGUAAUUCACGCCUUUCUCCAUAGAAUAGGUUCAUGCAGACUGCCUUUCCUCUCACUAUCAGAAGUCCUUCUGUGAUAAACCUAACAGAUAAUAAUUUGGGCAGUGGCUUCUCUUCAACUCCUCCCCUGUCCUCUGCCUUCCUCCAGUUUUCACCUGCACACCGGGUGUGGCCACUGUGGUCGGCGCUGCAGGUACACAGGUAAGUCCCUGGGAUGCUGCCCGCAGAGGCCGCCUGGUCUGGGCGUGCACAGCAGAGUGCGUUUGCAGGAAGUUCCCUGGACAUGGGCAGGCUGUGCACCUGCCCUUAGAAGAGAGACAGCGCAGGACUCACGGAGGCUACGUGGCAGCCGAGGUUUCCAGUCCGGGUGGCCCAGAAACCAGGAGCCAUUCUGGGCACAGCCCUUGUGAGGCCUCAAAUCCCGAAGCUGGCUUUGGGGAGCACCUGUCGCCUGGCUCCGUCGUGGUCUACAAAGGUGGGGAGCGGCUGGGUGGCAGGAUGAGGCUGUCUCCCUCUCGACAGGAGCUCACUACUUGGCCAAAACAGAAACGUGGCCGAGAAGUGUGUUGUGUUAGGAAGUUCUGCCUUAUAUUGUGCCAAGUCUGAUCUCUCUUCUCUCUCACGUUGGGUUUAAGCCGCAGCAGCAGCGUGGAGUGAGCCUGUCUGCUCUUUGCCACACGCCUUUUAUGAGAAAAGUAGAAGAAACAGCGGCACUUUCCCAUGGAACAGAGUGAGCCACUGAACAGGAAAGGACAGAUGGGUACUGAGAGAAGCUGGUGGGUCAUCCUGCAGCCCAGCAGAGGAAUGAAGAACAGACUCAGGUGUUCUUGAACAGUGGGUCUCGGUUUCCCUGUCUCCUCACCAUGGACAUGUUCCCCGUCUGCAGUGUGAACUUCUGACUGUGCUACAGGCAUGUUACGAACCAGAAAGUUAACGGCGCAGAAUCCUGCUGACUUCGUGGUUCUCCUCUCCGCGCCUUUUCCAACCUUGAACCUGAGCCUUGCUAGAGGCUGGCGACUCCGGACAUGCAUCUGAGCAGUUAUCUGCUGGUGGCCUGGUUCCUGAGGUAACAAGUGGGCGUCCCGGGCGAGUGUGUGCUAAUAACGACUGUGAUGCCACGUGGUGCCCAGAGGUCGCUGCCAUCUGUCCCGGGGACUCCUGGUCCUCGGGGCUUCGGAGAUGAACUGUGAACUUGGGGCGUCCUGCGAAGUGCAGGCAUCGCGGAGUGCCCCAGCGAAUCUGGACGUGAGCAUAAACACAGCUUUCAAAGUGAAAGCAGGGGCCUCGAGGAAGGAAUUGCCCUCAUGUCAUUCUGGACCUGCUCACUGUGCUGUGCCGGGAAACAGAGUAAGUUUUGUUUGUUUCUUUGUUAGCCAAUCGCUCCUACAUGUUUUCUCUUGCUAACAUUAUAUUAGACACUCCGUAUCUGGCAAACGCCAGGGUGUUUUCCCCCUUCAUUGGGAAGUAGGAUAUGAAGUUUGUUAAAUAGCUAAUUGCUUCUUUUAUCUUUUCUGUCCUUCUUCCUGUAUCUAGCGCCCUGCCGGCUUGCUUGUUAGAGAUAGCAAGAGAUUGAAAUUUAUUAUCAGAAAACAAAAAGCUCUUUUUUUUUUUUUUUAAAACAGUCUGAGAACUUUGCCACUAAUUAAAUGACAAUGACACAGGCAAAGCUUUUUCCAUGGUGCAGCCAGGAGCACAUCUAGCAAAAUAGCCCCAGCUCACUGUCCUUAUUUGUGUUGGGAAGCAGAAGGGGUGCGUGUCUGAGACGUGUGUGAAAACAGAGAGUCCCCCCGCUGUGGGAACUACAGGCACUGGGUGGGAAUGGUGCCUGGACAAGAGGCUGGAAUUUAAAAACCUGUCAAGAAAUGGAAAGGGGCUGAGGAAUAUAAAUUAUUGAUGAUGUUGGAAAAACAAGACAAAACAAACAAAAAACCAGACUUCUCAUAAGAAUGGGAUAACAAUGUACAAAGACCUAAACCUGUCAACAGAAGCUGAAGUUUUUCUUCAUGUUAGAAAGGGUCAUGGAAUUUAUAGACAAUUUGGGGCUUUAGACUUACAGAUUUAUAGAAAAUGUGGAGCUUUCAGAAAAUAAUUCAGAGGCAUCAUCACCUCUGCAGAGGACUUCAAGACAGCAAGCCUAAUUCUGACACUUGACCCCCGUCUUCCAUUUUUGUUUGUUUGCGUUUUACCUGAUCCUAGCUUCGGAGCGGUUGCAUGACUCAGUGCCGUUUUAAUCCCAACUUCUGUGGUUUUGAAACUGCCCCAUGAAUGGAAAUGCAGAGUAGUUUACGAUUUGUAACUAGGUUAUCCUUCCUCCUGAAGUGGACUGUUUUUACCGUAGAGUUCUCUUGACUUUUCUCAACUUGAACAGUAACACCUAGAAGGUAGAAGGAGGCAGUGGAACUGUGGUGUGGCACCGGAAACAGAAAUUUCUAAAUCUGCUGUGAAUACUGGGAUACUGUAAAUUUAAAUUGGGCUUCUCUGCCCUGGGAAGCUCACAUUUUUAUCUCAGAGUGGUGGUGGUAGGGCUUGGGGUGUCUGUUUUUCAUUUAAAACAUUCCAGGCUCCUUAAAUGAAUGUCUACGAAUUAUUAAUUCAGCAAACUUCUUUAAAUAUCUUCUUUAUGUAACAGUACGGUGCUCAGAGCUAUAGUUUAAUCACAAUUAAAUUUACUGAGAUUUGGUUUGUAAAUUAAAGAUUGAGGACGUUUGAAACAAGGGUGAAUGAGCAGAGCAUUACCAUCGAAACGGUUUGUUAAAAGAUGGUGCCAAGUGAACAGGGCUGUCCCCUUCUGAGCUGCCCCUCCUAAUUAAAGGGGAAGGUGGCUGCCAUCUGUCUUCUUUCAUUCAAGGCAGUAGGGGGCCUGGAGUGGAAGGAAGCACCCCCCCCCCCCCCGUAUUUUUUCUCCCACUCUUUUUCAUAGUCAGCUUUCUCCCUAGUCAGUGACCCAGAAGGUCAUUGAUGAUCUAUCUGAGAAUGAAUAGUAACAUAAGCAUGCAAGGCACUUGCAGGGGAAAAAAAAAAAGUUUAUAACAUGUGCUUAUCCAUUUAGAAUUCUGCUUGGAUUAUGUCUGAGAGUGUUGGUAAUCUAUGUGUUGGUGUCUUUACUACUCUUGUUCCUGAAGACACUACUGACAGGAAAAGUAGGGAUUUUUAGUUGUAUUGAUUUAACUUUUUCAUGAAAAAAUUUUUACACUCCACUGGGCAUAAUCAGAAGAUGGCAGCAUGUAGCUAGCCAGUGGGGACGUCCAGAAAUGCUGUUCUUACCAAAAUCAAGACUACCUGUUAACUGUGAUACACACAUGUCAUCGCAGGGGAAACCGAGGGCAAGGGUACUCACCCAUGCCGGUAUUACUCAGUGCUUACCAAGGCUUACUGGACCGGUCGCUGAAACAGCUCACAUUGUUUAUCCUUUCAUUAGGCAAUAAGCCUUUUAGCCCCUUUUUCAUAAGACUAGCUUAUUGGAGAAUUUAAUUUGGGGUCAUGGCUUUUCAUUGCUUUUGAAAUGUCAAGUGCUCUAACUAACUGAUUGAGCUUUCUUGCCUCAGUUUCUACCUCUUUAAAGAGAAGGAAUAUGUGCUGCUUUCAGAAAUAUUUAAGAGACUAUGAAAUAAUGUUUUGUCUUUGAUAAAAGCUUUAUUAUAGGGGCACCUGGGUGGCUCAGUGGGUUAAAGCCUCUGCUUUUGGCUCAGGUCAUGAUCCCAGGGUCC
Long non-coding RNA from Mustela erminea (ermine), 3768 nucleotides. RefSeq lists it as uncharacterized. The record is from RefSeq and is a predicted model, not a curated record. The transcript is spliced from 4 exons. Lineage: Eukaryota; Metazoa; Chordata; Mammalia; Carnivora; Mustelidae.